ACAAAAAAAUACCAAAAAAAUACAGUAAGGAGGAACAUAAAUUUUGAAGA
This 50-nucleotide small RNA is filed under the name Arabidopsis thaliana (thale cress). RNAcentral's name for it is "ATSL104480". Lineage: Eukaryota; Viridiplantae; Streptophyta; Magnoliopsida; Brassicales; Brassicaceae. The record is from RNAcentral.